CGUUGGAGCAACAUCCGCGGAGGGUGUGGGCGCGCGUGCGGGCUGUGGCUCGCGCUGCCACCGCGGGGCGGCAACCACCAACUGACGCAGGGGCCCGUCCCGCGUGAGCACGGCGGGGGCAAAGGGCUGCCCUGCCCGCCCGCCCGCCCGCAGGGGCGCCGCUGUCGCCAGAAAGAAUCAUGUAAUAGUGUAGUCCAACUUAGAAGAGGAACCUUCCUAAGCAGAAAAACAGAUUCUGGCACUCAGACUGGAGCUCUUGGAGAGCUAUAUCUUGUGAAGCCACAGCAUGACCAGGAGCAAGGCCAGCGAUCUGCAGAUACUUACAAGCAAGCAUACAACUUCAUAAUGUUACAUAAAUAGAUGCCUGAAAAACAGGGAAUAGUCUAGAAAACUUACUUAUACAAUUAGUGAAUUCUCACUCAAGGAAAAAAAUUCUGUACUAUACAUUCACUGCCCUUUCUUCAUCUGCUUAAGUAGAGCUUACAAAGUGAAUCCUAUAAACUCCCAGUACAGGACAUGAAAAGUAUACUGCAAGCAUAGGAGCAUCUCUGUAGUGCAAGAAUUAAGAUGAAGAAAUAGAAGGCUUUGAAAACAAAAUCAGCUUUUUCUGGAUGUGGAAAAUACCUGUGAUCUGAUGAAAAACUAAAUCAGCACUACCUCUGCUACUAUUGAGAUGACAGGUUGACCAAGGUGGGGAGGUCAGGUGGUCACUGUAACUGAGCCAUGCAGUACACUGGACUGGAACCUGCCUCAUCACAGUACCAGAGCGGGCAGCUGCCUGUGCUGUGCCUCAGCCCCUCCUCACGCAGGACUCCAGAGCCAGCAGGUAACUCCAGGGAAGCUCCUGCCUGUAAAUACCACUUCUCUGUGCAGCCAACUCCAGCUACGAGGAGUUCUGGCGACUGACUUCACUGUUGCUGUAGCGAACAGGAGUUUCUUCAUGUUCUGCUGAUUUGGUGGGGAGAAACUGCUUCAUUCCUUUCCACCAUCCUUUACAGAUUUUUUUUUUAAAAAAAGGUGUGAAGGUUGUUUUAUCUGUCUGCAACGAAGUCUUCACUGAAUGAAUGAAGUCAUCACUGAAGUCAUUCUUGUCAUCGUUGUUCUGAUGUGGUGGAGGCAUGGUAAUUUUUGGAGCACGGCCUUUAGAGAAAAAGUAAUUACAAAGGUGUUUGAAGUGCUAGUUUUUCAUGUUUCCUUUUUAAGAAAAGGGGGCUGGAUCUAUUUAUUCUAAAACUUUUGUUUGUGUUAUGUGAUAAGGAAAAGAAAAAAAACCAUAAACUUAUAACAUGGAAAACAA
Molecule: long non-coding RNA, 1297 nt
Organism: Rhea pennata
Lineage: Eukaryota; Metazoa; Chordata; Aves; Rheiformes; Rheidae
Exons: 6
Source: RefSeq, a predicted model, not a curated record